Molecule: ribosomal RNA, 1335 nt
Filed under: Vibrio parahaemolyticus
Lineage: Bacteria; Pseudomonadati; Pseudomonadota; Gammaproteobacteria; Vibrionales; Vibrionaceae
Description: bacterial SSU rRNA
Rfam family: Bacterial small subunit ribosomal RNA
Source: RNAcentral
CGGCGUCGAGCGGCGGACGGGUGAGUAAUGCCUAGGAAAUUGCCCUGAUGUGGGGGAUAACCAUUGGAAACGAUGGCUAAUACCGCAUGAUGCCUACGGGCCAAAGAGGGGGACCUUCGGGCCUCUCGCGUCAGGAUAUGCCUAGGUGGGAUUAGCUAGUUGGUGAGGUAAGGGCUCACCAAGGCGACGAUCCCUAGCUGGUCUGAGAGGAUGAUCAGCCACACUGGAACUGAGACACGGUCCAGACUCCUACGGGAGGCAGCAGUGGGGAAUAUUGCACAAUGGGCGCAAGCCUGAUGCAGCCAUGCCGCGUGUGUGAAGAAGGCCUUCGGGUUGUAAAGCACUUUCAGUCGUGAGGAAGGUAGUGUAGUUAAUAGCUGCAUUAUUUGACGUUAGCGACAGAAGAAGCACCGGCUAACUCCGUGCCAGCAGCCGCGGUAAUACGGAGGGUGCGAGCGUUAAUCGGAAUUACUGGGCGUAAAGCGCAUGCAGGUGGUUUGUUAAGUCAGAUGUGAAAGCCCGGGGCUCAACCUCGGAAUUGCAUUUGAAACUGGCAGACUAGAGUACUGUAGAGGGGGGUAGAAUUUCAGGUGUAGCGGUGAAAUGCGUAGAGAUCUGAAGGAAUACCGGUGGCGAAGGCGGCCCCCUGGACAGAUACUGACACUCAGAUGCGAAAGCGUGGGGAGCAAACAGGAUUAGAUACCCUGGUAGUCCACGCCGUAAACGAUGUCUACUUGGAGGUUGUGGCCUUGAGCCGUGGCUUUCGGAGCUAACGCGUUAAGUAGACCGCCUGGGGAGUACGGUCGCAAGAUUAAAACUCAAAUGAAUUGACGGGGGCCCGCACAAGCGGUGGAGCAUGUGGUUUAAUUCGAUGCAACGCGAAGAACCUUACCUACUCUUGACAUCCAGAGAACUUUCCAGAGAUGGAUUGGUGCCUUCGGGAACUCUGAGACAGGUGCUGCAUGGCUGUCGUCAGCUCGUGUUGUGAAAUGUUGGGUUAAGUCCCGCAACGAGCGCAACCCUUAUCCUUGUUUGCCAGCGAGUAAUGUCGGGAACUCCAGGGAGACUGCCGGUGAUAAACCGGAGGAAGGUGGGGACGACGUCAAGUCAUCAUGGCCCUUACGAGUAGGGCUACACACGUGCUACAAUGGCGCAUACAGAGGGCGGCCAACUUGCGAAAGUGAGCGAAUCCCAAAAAGUGCGUCGUAGUCCGGAUUGGAGUCUGCAACUCGACUCCAUGAAGUCGGAAUCGCUAGUAAUCGUGGAUCAGAAUGCCACGGUGAAUACGUUCCCGGGCCUUGUACACACCGCCCGUCACACCAUGGGAGUGGGUAU